UUGCACCUAAAGCAACAGGUGCCACAUGCCCUUGUGCAAACAUUAGGCCUCGAGUGCAAACUACACCUCACCUUGCACAACCCUCCACAAUCCAAGAAUGGCAAGAGCCUUCUGUUAGCUCCUUUCACCAACUUGGUGCUUUGCUCUUCAAUCUCGAUGUCAGAUGAAACCUGGGCUAUGCAGAAAAGAAGGAUUGCCACCAAAAGAAGAGAGCGUAAAGCCAUUUAAAAGUACUACCAGUCUGAAGGUGUUGACGUGAUCUAACCAAUGGGCUUUGUUAAGAG
Molecule: unclassified non-coding RNA, 284 nt
Filed under: Hevea brasiliensis (rubber tree)
Lineage: Eukaryota; Viridiplantae; Streptophyta; Magnoliopsida; Malpighiales; Euphorbiaceae
Source: RNAcentral